ACCUUAGAACAGCAAAUCUUAAAGCACUAUGUAAAUGUUAAAUAUUCACUGCAACUUUUGUUAACACUGACUUUCACUUACUGUAAGAAGCUCACAUUUUGGAAUAUGAUUUCACUUUUUUCAGGACAUUCUGUGCUCAGAAUGAUUUUUAACUGUUACAGUUGGCUUAAUUUUUCCUUUUGCUUAGGAGAGAGUACAUGCUCCUUGGUUUGGGGAGAGAAAAACCAUUUAUUCCUGUAGGAUAAUUUUUCCUCUGUUCAUCAGCCUUAGGGAGCCUUCUGGCUAGGCAGAAGUGGUUUCAGAGCUAGAAGAGAUCCUGAAGUUCACCUUGUUUGUCUAACUUCCAUAUUUUACAGGUGAGCAAACUGGGCCUCCAAAAAGUCAAGUGACUUGCCCACUAUCGCAGAGGUACCUAAGGCAGGAUUUGAAUCCAGAUCUUUUGGCUACACAAUCAGUAUUCUUUUUUGUACUGUAGGGACUAGAAGGCAACUUUAUAUGAUUAAAAGAACACAAGAUUGGAGAGUCAAAAGAUCGAAUCCAACCCCAGCUUUGAUACUUAGUGUAAUCAUGGCCUGCUCAUUUAAGCACCAUGAAAAUGUCUUCCUUUCAUGCAUACUAGGACCUUGUCACAGAUGAGGAGAUAGGAGAGACCUUAGUGAUUAUGUAGUUCAUUCUCUCAUUUCACAAAUAACAAAGUGGAGGCCUGCAGAGAGAUAGUAACUUAGAUGGAAGAAGGUAUAGAACUCUGGAUCUGCAAUCAGGAAGGCUUCAAUUCAGAUCUGGCCUCAGAUACUUCCUAGCUGUGUGAUCCUGGGGAAAGUCUCUUAAUUAACCUCUUGGGGAUAAUAGCACCUACCUCCUAGAGUUGUUUUGAGGAUCACAGUUAGAUAAUUUAGUGUUUAUAUUUCUUGAUCUCAUUGAAGUGAUUACUUCUGUACAUGGUAUAUAUCACUUUUAUUUUUAUCCUGAUGCUUGUGUUGUUUUCCUGUAAAUACUCAAAGGGAAGCCUCUUAUGUGCUUUCUUCUGGUUUUAUUUCAUUUCAAUACUUAACUGGUCCACCCCUUUUUCUAGUCAUGUAUCUCUCCUUUACUCUCUGGAUAACCCCCACUUUACUCCUUUGGAGACUUUUUUUUUUUUUGGAGGGUGGGGAAUUCCACAUCUUGUAAUUUUGUAGGAUCACCUGGAGAAUCAGUUUCUCAAAGGUAAUCCAGCUUAUUCAGUUCUGGUCCACUUUUUUUUUUUUUUCUUCAUAGAUAAAAUAUCUAAGAAAAACACAUGUUUGAUAGACUACAAUAUUUAUCAUCCAUUUGGUUUUUCCUGAAUGGCUAGUCAGCUAAACUUUUUGGGGUUCUAAUGGAUCUCAUUUGGAUGAUGGUUCUCUUUCAUGGCUCCAUGCCAUUGGCUUAGGAUCUUUCAAAAAAAUGCAGUACCUGAAAGUCCCCCAUCUAAAGGGAAUCCCCUAUCAUCUGAACAUUUUCCAUUUUGGUGGUUAACAGCUAACAAGUAGAAAUUACUUUUAGGAUGAAUUUAUUAAGAACAAAUAGAUAUUUAAAUAGGCUUUUAUUGUAUUUUUUGGAGGGUGGGAGAGCUAUUUUUAUCAUCAGUUUUGGGAGUUCUAAGGAACUUUCUUUUACUAAAAGAAAACUGCACUUUCUAUGUACUUCAUAGUUGUAGAAAAAUAUAUAAGAAUCCUGGUAGUGACUUACUCAGUUCAUGCUGACUCAAAAGUGAGUCCUCUAUUACAUAUUAAUUAAGUACACUAGACCUUAUAUGUAAGAUAGUCAUAUGGAGCAAUAGUUGGUAUUUUGAAAAUAGAUCUAUAGUACUUUGUGAUGCAUGAACAUUGAUAUCCUCAGGACAGCUUUGCUAUCCACCUAGUCUCCCUUCCUUAUGAACAGUGAUUUCCUUUUUUUUUUUUUUAACCUACAUAAAUAAUGCAUCAUAGCAUUCCACCACAAUGCUUGAACUGAAGAUAAAGGAAGAGGCACAAUCAUUUCCAAAAUUGGGAUUUGGCAAUAUAGUAUAAUCUCAGAUGUGCUCAUGCUUCAUGUAAUAUAAAUUUAAUUUUCUUUCAUCACAGGAGAGGGGAAAGCAUCUGGGGCAUCAUAAAAUAUUUAAUCUAGGAGAAAAACAAGUCUAGCAUGCAUGAAAUAACAAUUGUAGUUUGGUUUUUCAUGUAGACUUUGUCAGGGCAGAACAAGGGACUCUUCUGUUUAUACUCAACCUCAUUUUGGGUUGAACAAUUUACUUGCCUUCAAACAUUCUUGAAGGAGUUCGACUGAUUCAUUUUCAAUUGUUUUGACUUAUAAAUUACUCUAAGAGUGUCACCAUUCUUUCAAAAUUCUUUUUCAGCAAAUCCAGUAAAAGUUGUCAUAGUGCCAAUAUCCAGGACGGAUUAAGCCAAUAACAACACAGACACUGUUUGUGUAUGUCAGGAUAUCAAAGAAUUGUGAUUUUGUCAUUGUGGAUCCUGCCUCUGUGAAACAUAGCAUUAUCACCCUUUCUUUAGUAGGUUCAACCCUCUAUUCACUCUUUUGCUUAAACUGCCUUGGGAAAAGGAGGUAUCAAAAGAAAUGAGACUGAACAAAUGAAUGGUGUUAAUACCUGCUGCAUGUAUGAAGACAGAAGAAAAAGCAGGUCUGGGGAAAAUAAAUUUAGUUUGGACAAGACUGAAUUGAAGCUGAUGGACUGCAUGCCCAAAAGGCAGCUGAAGAGAAUGAAAAAAGAUCUUCUGCUGACAGGAUGGGAAGAGGAGAGGAAGGAAGAACACCAAAAAACAUCAUUGAAGCCAUGAUUCGCCUCUUCACUCAUAUACCUUGGCUAAGAGUUCCUUAUGUAUGUAUUUCUCUACUUGUAUUCCCUAAAAAAGACUAAAUCUCCUUUUUGCCAGUCUGUAUAUUUGUAGAAGAGUAUGAUGUAGGUCUAUAGCAAGUCAUUGCUUACUAUGACAGACAUUUCAUUAAAUUCUUUUCCUUUGAA
Molecule: long non-coding RNA, 2980 nt
Organism: Antechinus flavipes (yellow-footed antechinus)
Lineage: Eukaryota; Metazoa; Chordata; Mammalia; Dasyuromorphia; Dasyuridae
Exons: 3
Source: RefSeq, a predicted model, not a curated record